Molecule: transfer RNA, 72 nt
Filed under: Salmo salar (Atlantic salmon)
Lineage: Eukaryota; Metazoa; Chordata; Actinopteri; Salmoniformes; Salmonidae
Rfam family: tRNA
About the family: Transfer RNA (tRNA) molecules are approximately 80 nucleotides in length. Their secondary structure includes four short double-helical elements and three loops (D, anti-codon, and T loops). Further hydrogen bonds mediate the characteristic L-shaped molecular structure. tRNAs have two regions of fundamental functional importance: the anti-codon, which is responsible for specific mRNA codon recognition, and the 3' end, to which the tRNAs corresponding amino acid is attached (by aminoacyl-tRNA synthetases). tRNAs cope with the degeneracy of the genetic code in two manners: having more than one tRNA (with a specific anti-codon) for a particular amino acid; and 'wobble' base-pairing, i.e. permitting non-standard base-pairing at the 3rd anti-codon position.
Source: Rfam by way of RNAcentral
UCCCGUGUGGGUCAGUUGGUAGAGCAUGGUGUUUGCAACGCCAGGGUUGUGGGUUCGAUUCCCACGUGGGAC